UAAGACAGAGGUGGCAAGCGUUGUUCGGAUUUACUGGGCUUAAAGGGCGUGUAGGCGUCCUGAUAAGUCAGAUGUGGAAGCCUUGGGCUUAACUCAAGAAUUGCAUUUGAAACUGUCAGGAUUGAGUCGUGCAUGGGAGGGCGGAAUUCCUGGUGUAGCAGUGAAAUGCGUAGAUAUCAGGAGGAAGGCCGGUGGUGAAGAUGGCCCUCUAGGCAAUGACUGACGCUGAGGCGCGAAAGCGUGGGGAGCAAACAGGAUUAGAUACCCUGGUAGUCCACGCCCUAAACGGUGGGUACUAGGUGUGGGUGGCGAUAGUCAUCCGUGCCGAAGGGAAACCAUUAAGUACCCCGCCUGGGGAGUACGGCCGCAAGGUUGAAACUUAAAUGAAUUGACGG
RNAcentral lists this ribosomal RNA (395 nucleotides) under uncultured bacterium. RNAcentral's name for it is "bacterial SSU rRNA". It matches the Rfam family "Bacterial small subunit ribosomal RNA", at positions 521 to 916 of the family's 1533-position model. The record is from RNAcentral.